GGUCCCAUGGUGUAAUGGCGAGCACUUUGGACUCUGAAUCCAAGCAUCCGAGUUCGAGUCUCGGUGGGACCU
Penaeus chinensis is the source of this 72-nucleotide non-coding RNA. NCBI's taxonomy places the organism in Eukaryota, Metazoa, Arthropoda, Malacostraca, Decapoda, Penaeidae. The record is from the annotation of a RefSeq genome assembly.